Non-coding RNA from Struthio camelus australis, 2406 nucleotides. NCBI's taxonomy places the organism in Eukaryota, Metazoa, Chordata, Aves, Struthioniformes, Struthionidae. The record is from RefSeq and is a predicted model, not a curated record.
CAAAGUAUUUUUAGAAAUAGUAUUUUUAGCUAAAUUACAUUUUCUGUAAACAAACUGAGAAUUUUUUAAGCUACCUAAACAUGCAAAAAGCAAGUAUGAUGAAAGGCACAUCUACCAGUGUGCUAAGUUAUUCUUACACUGGCUCAGCCAAAUCCUGGUGCUUCAGAAUAUUGUUCUCCUGGUCUGAAAAUGAUGAUUUCUGUACUCAUAUCUUGUUGGAUAUUUUAUUUUCAGUUGGAGCUCUGUACAGGCAUAGGUUUUCACACAGAACCAGCUGCUGUUUGGGGCCUGGCUUACAAAAAGUUUAGUAAGAAACUGUAAAUCCACUGUACUUUUCAUCAAAAUGUUUUCAAACAUACCAAAUAGACCACUAACCGUUCAAAUACAAGUAACUUCAUGAAACUGAUUUCAUAAAGAGAAUUGCUUCCUGUUUAUGCUUAGAUGAUCAUUCCAAAGUUUGAAAUUAAAAAGGAUAUUUGAAAAAAAAAAAAAAGUAUUACACCAUCAAAGGCAAGAUUUAGAAUUACAUUUAGGGAAAAAAUUACUUUCUUUAGGAUGCAGAGAGCUGAAUACACUACCUAAUAACAGAUCUCCCUGAAAGUUUUUUUUUUCUUGAUAUCAUUGUUAUUAUCAUUGGUACUAUGAGAUAGCAACAGCCAUUGCAAGAGAUGUAAUAAAUGUAUAAAAUAUAAAAUUGGUCAUUAUAUAGCAGUGGGCAUUUGUUAUUGCAGCCUGCUGUUUCACAGAUUUUUGAGCCAGAUAAAAGCGUUAUGAAGAUGUGGUCCGCUCUCCUGCGGUAUGUAGGGGACAGGUGUUCACCCCGGUACCCUGGAAGCAAGUUCCUAAUUGCUGUUAGAGCUACUGCCUAUCUUUAAAAAGGACAUGCCACUUUCCAUUUAAGGUUGCAAGUAAUGGCAAAUUGUCAUGUCAGUGAUUAACCAAUUCCACUUACAGGGUCCAAACAAUUUCUUCUCCAUGGUAGGGGUGUUAUGCUGAAAAACUGCGUAUGUCUCCUGUAAUGCAGAACUUUCUUGGCAAGCCUAUUUAUAUGUAAUUCUUCUAAUCUUACCUCAUAAAUUGUUCCCCUUCACUCAUCUUGUCCAGGUUUACUGCUCUUUCCUGAACUGCCUUUGAAUUGCCAUAUUUUAGUAGUGAAUGCCUAGAAGUGAAUUUGAUGUUCAAGUUGUAAUCUGUAGCCUGCAGAGAGCAGGCAGUUCCCUCUUUUACACUGUGAUGUGACACCCCUCAAAGCAUGCAUCUGACUGUUUGAAACUCGCAUCAGGAUUCCUGUCCAGCUUCAGCACAAGUGUCUCACAGGCAUCCUGCUCUCCAACUUCCUUUCUGACAAUAAAGAGUUACCGUGUGGUUGACUUUUGCUCUGUGCAUGAAGGGCUUUUUGGCUUUUUUGACCCGCAUUUUAAUGUCUGAAAUAUAUUGUACUCUUUCUCUGUCUUCACUGGUGUUGCAAUAGUUCCCGUUGUGACCAUCUGCAGAUGUCAUUAACCUCCUGUUUAUACUCGCUAUUCCAGCUCGUUAAUAAUAAAGAUAUUAAGUCUGGCCUUCCUGGCCUUCCUUACCUUCCCCUGCGUAUCUCCCUAGGCACCUGUUCCCAGCUGUUUAACACUGCUUCUUGUAAUUUUUCUGCUCAUGUAACUGUUCAAGUCAACUGGAAUUUUUUCAGAUAAGCACUUGUGAGAAGGAAUCAAAUAUAUUACUAAGAGAUCUGUGGCCAACAUUCACGCUAUUGCAUCACGUUUACCAAGUUUGUCCUUCUGUUCAGUGUGGAAGAAUCAUGUUUGAUUGGCUAAGAAGCCACAGAAAGAUUAUCUGUACUUUCUCCUUGUCUUUGUUCUGUGUUUACCAUUUAUUUUCUAUUACUUGCUCUUUAAUUUUGUUAUACAAAAAUCAAGACUGACCUCAUUUUUGGCUUGCUACAUCCCAGAAAUACAGGAGUUGUACAUGGAUUGCACCAUGGACCCAUCUGGUCCAAGUUCCUGCUGCUGGCAGCAACUAACAGUUGAUAAUCCGGGCAAAAGCUAAGGGAGGAAAAAUUAAUUCAUCUGCCUGAUACUGAAAUUCCAUCCCGAUGGCCACAGGAGAUCAGUAUAUCACUCAGAGCACAAAGUUUAAUCGCCUGUAUCACUCUUUACCCUGCAGAGCUAUAAGGAGACAAGAGAGUUCCCUGAACUGAAGUCAGUCUUGCUGAGUGGUAUCUUGAGCAUACUGGAUUUGCUCGGCACCUCAGGAGGCGCCUGCUCCUGUGCCAGGAUUCAAGGAUUCAUGUGCUGGAUUCAGAGAUGAGUGUGGAGCCUUAGAUACUCAAAGACUGAGCCUGCCUUUUUUGUUUGCCUUGUAUCCAGCAUAUUGUCACUACUAGAAAAAUAAUAAAGAUCUUUUUACAGUCUA